AUUGAACGCUGGCGGCAGGCCUAAUACAUGCAAGUCGAGCGGAUGAAGGGAGCUUGCUCUUGGCUUCAGUGGCGGACGGGUGAGUAAUGCCUAGGUAUAUGCCCGGUCGUUGGGGAUAACGUCAGGAAACGGGAGCUAAUAUCGCAUAGGACCUGAUGGUGAACGUGGGGGUUCUUCGGACCUAACGCUAUUUGCUGUCACUAGGUCGGAUUAGCUAGUUGGUGGGGUAAAGGCCUACCAAGGCGACGAUCCGUAACUGGUCUGAGAGGCUGAUCAGUCACACUGGAACUGAGACACGGUCCAGACUCCUACGGGAGGCAGCAGUAGGGAAUAUUGGACAAUGGGCGAAAGCCUGAUCCAGCCAUGCCGCGUGUGUGAAGAAGGUCUUCGGAUUGUAAAGCUCUUUAAGUUGGGAGGAAGAGCAGUAAGUUAAUACCUUGCUGUUUUGACGGUACCAACAGAAUAAGCACCGGCUAACUUCGUG
This 484-nucleotide ribosomal RNA is filed under the name uncultured bacterium. RNAcentral's name for it is "partial 16S ribosomal RNA". It matches the Rfam family "Bacterial small subunit ribosomal RNA", at positions 30 to 507 of the family's 1533-position model. The record is from RNAcentral.